This 429-nucleotide ribosomal RNA is filed under the name Actinomycetes bacterium. RNAcentral describes it as "Actinobacteria bacterium partial 16S ribosomal RNA". It matches the Rfam family "Bacterial small subunit ribosomal RNA", at positions 355 to 776 of the family's 1533-position model. The record is from RNAcentral. Lineage: Bacteria; Bacillati; Actinomycetota; Actinomycetes.
UAGGGAAUCUUCCGCAAUGGGCGAAAGCUUGACGGAGCAACGCCGCGUGAGUGAUGAAGGUCUUCGGAUCGUAAAACUCUGUUAUUAGGGAAGAACAAAUGUGUAAGUAACUAUGCACGUCUUGACGGUACCUAAUCAGAAAGCCACGGCUAACUACGUGCCAGCAGCCGCGGUAAUACGUAGGUGGCAAGCGUUAUCCGGAAUUAUUGGGCGUAAAGCGCGCGUAGGCGGUUUUUUAAGUCUGAUGUGAAAGCCCACGGCUCAACCGUGGAGGGUCAUUGGAAACUGGAAGUCUUGAGUGCAGAAGAGGAAAGUGGAAUUCCAUGUGUAGCGGUGAAAUGCGCAGAGAUAUGGAGGAACACCAGUGGCGAAGGAGACUUUCUGGUCUGUAACUGACGCUGAUGUGCGAAAGCGUGGGGAUCAAACAGG